CAAUAGCGUAUAUUAAAGUUGUUGUGGUUAAAAAGCUCGUAGUUGGAUUUCUGCCGAGGACGACCGGUCCGCCCUCUGGGUGAGUAUCUGGCUCGGCCUGGGCAUCUUCUUGGAGAACGUAGCUGCACUUGACUGUGUGGUGCGGUAUCCAGGACUUUUACUUUGAGGAAAUUAGAGUGUUUCAAGCAGGCUUACGCCUUGAAUACAUUAGCAUGGAAUAAUAAGAUAGGACCUCGGUUCUAUUUUGUUGGUUUCUAGAGCUGAGGUAAUGAUUAAUAGGGAUAGUUGGGGGCAUUCGUAUUUAACUGUCAGAGGUGAAAUUCUUGGAUUUGUUAAAGACGGACUACUGCGAAANCANNNGCCAAGGAUGUUUUCAUNGA
This 380-nucleotide ribosomal RNA is filed under the name uncultured eukaryote. Its description in RNAcentral is "partial 18S ribosomal RNA". It matches the Rfam family "Eukaryotic small subunit ribosomal RNA", at positions 592 to 976 of the family's 1831-position model. The record is from RNAcentral.